AUGACUGUUAAAACGACGUUUGGCAAGGCAUAGCAUAUCUAAUUCAUUUAGCCACCUGCGAUCGAGAAAUGUAAAGAGAAGAAGGUUCUGGAUAUCGAUAGAACACAAUUAAAAAUGAACCCAUUGGCGCAGCUUUUACUGGUCUGCCUUUCUCUAGUGGGAAUGGUCCUGGCUCAACAACGACCACCCCAGAUUCCGAGAGAUCCGAUGCCGAGAGAUCCUUAUAGAAUUGACCGCAAAGAUCUUCCACCUAAUCGUGCAAAAUGGUGCCGACUUAUUUUAAGUUCCCCUUUUGGUCAAAGUAAUUGCUAAUUAAGCUGUAUGAUAUAUAAAUGUUUGAUGACAUGCUCCAAAGAAAUCGAUGAGGUCAAUCCCUCUUUUACAAAAAAGAUGUUCUGAAAGAAAAUGUUAAUUGUCUGACUACAUACAAGUUUUCUUUGGUAACCAAAUUAUUUACAGGGCGCAUUUCCUAGUUAUUUAAAAUAGAUUGUAGCCCAGCUAGUAAGCCAAUAUAUUUUUGCAUUCAA
Long non-coding RNA from Drosophila gunungcola (fruit fly), 527 nucleotides. RefSeq lists it as uncharacterized. NCBI's taxonomy places the organism in Eukaryota, Metazoa, Arthropoda, Insecta, Diptera, Drosophilidae. The record is from RefSeq and is a predicted model, not a curated record. The transcript has 2 exons.